This 429-nucleotide ribosomal RNA is filed under the name Pseudomonadota bacterium. Its description in RNAcentral is "Proteobacteria bacterium partial 16S ribosomal RNA". It matches the Rfam family "Bacterial small subunit ribosomal RNA", at positions 355 to 776 of the family's 1533-position model. The record is from RNAcentral. Lineage: Bacteria; Pseudomonadati; Pseudomonadota.
UGGGGAAUAUUGGACAAUGGGCGAAAUCCUGAUCCAGUCAUGCCGCGUGUGUGAAGAAGGUCUUCGGAUUGUAAAGCACUUUAAGUUGGGAGGAAGGGCAGUAAGCGAAUACCUUGCUGUUUUGACGUUACCGACAGAAUAAGCACCGGCUAACUCUGUGCCAGCAGCCGCGGUAAUACAGAGGGUGCAAGCGUUAAUCGGAAUUACUGGGCGUAAAGCGCGCGUAGGUGGUUCGUUAAGUUGAAUGUGAAAGCCCCGGGCUCAACCUAGGAACUGCAUCCAAAGCUGGCGAGCUAGAGGAGGGCAGAAGGUGGUGGAAUUUCCUGUGUAGCGGUGAAAAGCGUAGAUAUAGGAAGGAACACCAGUGGCGAAGACGACCACCUGGGCUCAUACUGACGCUGAGGUGCGAAAGCGUGGGGAGCAAACAGG